GGCCUUUUGUUUAUGAUUUAAGGUCUAGCCUGCCCAAUGAGAUUUUGAAUGGCCGCGGUAUUUUAACCGUGCAAAGGUAGCAUAAUCAUUAGUUUUUUAAUUAAAAGCUGGUAUGAAUGGUUGAAUGAAAAAAUAACUGUCUCUAUUUAAAUUUUUUAGAAUUUUAUUUUUAAGUAAAAAAGCUUAAAUUAUAUUAGAAGACGAGAAGACCCUGUAGAGUUUAAUUAAUUAUUAUAAUAGGAUUUUUAGUAUUCUUAUUUUUAUUAUUUAUAAUUAAUUUAGUUGGGGUGAUUUAAAAAUUUAAUAAACUUUUUUUAUAUUUAUACAUUAAUUUAUGAUUACUUGAUCCUUAUUUUAAGAUUAAAAGAUAAAAUUACCUUAGGGAUAACAGCGUAAUUUUUUUAGAGAGUUCUAAUCGAAAAAAAAGAUUGCGACCUCGAUGUUGGAUUAAAAUAAAAAUUUGGUGUAGAAGCUAAAGUAUUUAGGUCUGUUCGACCUUUAAAAUUUUACA
Molecule: ribosomal RNA, 511 nt
Filed under: Falklandius kuscheli
Lineage: Eukaryota; Metazoa; Arthropoda; Insecta; Coleoptera; Curculionidae
Also listed under: 1 other name
Description: partial 16S ribosomal RNA
Rfam family: Bacterial large subunit ribosomal RNA
Source: RNAcentral